CUAGUUUCAAUGGAAUUAA
RNAcentral lists this microRNA (19 nucleotides) under Tribolium castaneum (red flour beetle). RNAcentral's name for it is "tca-miR-6018-5p". Lineage: Eukaryota; Metazoa; Arthropoda; Insecta; Coleoptera; Tenebrionidae. The record is from miRBase by way of RNAcentral.